Molecule: unclassified non-coding RNA, 1383 nt
Filed under: Hevea brasiliensis (rubber tree)
Lineage: Eukaryota; Viridiplantae; Streptophyta; Magnoliopsida; Malpighiales; Euphorbiaceae
Source: RNAcentral
CUGGUUAACAAAACUUCAAAAUAUUAAACUGACUAGAUUAACAAAUAAACCAUCCUUUACGAUUUUUUUGGUACAAGAAUAAUAUUGUCAACUAAAACAUGCCGUAAAUGAGGAUUGAAUUGGCCUAAAAUCCUCUUAAAAUGUCUCCAUACGGAAGGAAAAAAAAUAAAACUAAAAAGAACAAAUAGAUUCGUGGAAAGGUGUUGGGUAGGUUACAGGAAGCAACUUUAUACUAUCAAAACCUGGAAGCAACAAACAAUCUUGGUCCACAGUAUGAUAUUAUAUGCGGUCUCUCUGAGCUCUGAGGAACUGCAAUACGACACUUUAGUCGAUCUUCACAGAUGAGUAGAUGAGCCUCGUGAACCAGAAGCAAGCGUAGAACCCGAUUGUGCCAGUCAAGACAAAGAAAGCAUAUGAUGCAAUCAACAUGUAGCCAAAGUAGAGCAUACCAGAUACGGGCUUUGUUAUCUCGAGCUUCGUGAAGAAAUAGAAUGCUGCAUAUAGGAAAAGGUAGAGAGCUGAUGACCCUGAAGUGAGGUAUGACCUCCACCACCAAAGGUAAUCCUCACUGCAUAGCUGGAAAUAGCAGAGCACAAUGGUGAUCUCGGCACAGGUGACGAUAAGGAUGACGAGCACAAUGAAGAGGAAACCAAAUAUGUAAUAGAACUGCUGUAGCCAGAUUGAAGUGAGGAUGAAGAAUAGCUCGAUGAAUACGGCUCCAAAUGGGAGUAUGCCACCGAUAAGGAUAGAGAACACUGGGUUCAUGUACCAGGCUUGCUCCGGUACUUGUCGAGGGAUCUUAUUUGUUUUCACAGGAUCCUCAAUAGCUGGCUUCUUAAAACCAACAUAACUGCCAACAAAAACGAGUGGUACAGCUAUGCCAAACCACAAGAAAACUAAAGCAAACAUGGUUCCAAAAGGCACCGCCCCUGACGAUUUCUCUCCCCAAAUUAGAGCAUUCAACACAAAGAAAAGAACAAAAACAACUCCGGGGAACAUGAGUGCUGUCUUGAGAGUGAUUUUCUUCCAUUCAGAUCCUUUGAACAUCUUGUAAAGGCGGGCUGAAGCAUAACCAGCAAAAACACCCAUGAAAGCCCAGAGAAGCAACAUUGCUGUCAUCAAUCCUCCCCGAUUUGAAGGGGAUAAGAAUCCAAGGACAGCAAAUGUCAUUGUAACUACUGUCAUUCCAAAGAACUGGACACCAGUACCAACAUAAACACACAACAGAUCAGAGUUAAUUGGAGGCCUAAAGACAUCCCCAUGGACCAAUUUCCAUCCUGUUUCUUCUUGAGCCUCUUCCUGGGUCUCCAACUGAUUAUACUUGGAAAUGUCACGGUAGAGGGUCCGCAACAUAAUCAUUGCUACCAUUCCCGACAGGAAAAG